This 497-nucleotide ribosomal RNA is filed under the name uncultured bacterium. RNAcentral's name for it is "partial 16S ribosomal RNA". It matches the Rfam family "Bacterial small subunit ribosomal RNA", at positions 28 to 507 of the family's 1533-position model. The record is from RNAcentral.
GAUGAACGCUGGCGGCGUGCCUAAUACAUGCAAGUCGAGCGAACAGACGAGGAGCUUGCUCCUCUGACGUUAGCGGCGGACGGGUGAGUAACACGUGGAUAACCUACCUAUAAGACUGGGAUAACUUCGGGAAACCGGAGCUAAUACCGGAUAAUAUAUUGAACCGCAUGGUUCAAUAGUGAAAGACGGUUUUGCUGUCACUUAUAGAUGGAUCCGCGCCGCAUUAGCUAGUUGGUAAGGUAACGGCUUACCAAGGCAACGAUGCGUAGCCGACCUGAGAGGGUGAUCGGCCACAUUGGAACUGAGACACGGUCCAGACUCCUACGGGAGGCAGCAGUAGGGGAUCUUCCGCAAUUGGCGAAAGCCUGACGGAGCAACGCCGCGUGAGUGAUGAAGGUCUUCGGAUCGUAAAACUCUGUUAUUAGGGAAGAACAAAUGUGUAAGUAACUAUGCACGUCUUGACGGUACCUAAUCAGAAAGCCACGGCUAACUACGUG